Falco peregrinus (peregrine falcon) is the source of this 1241-nucleotide non-coding RNA. The record is from the annotation of a RefSeq genome assembly. Lineage: Eukaryota; Metazoa; Chordata; Aves; Falconiformes; Falconidae.
UUGCCCCCAGCCGUGACCCCCGCCACCGGCCUCUACCGCGCCGCCAGCCUCCUGCGCCCGCCCCACGGCUCCCGCCACCCGCCCCACAGCUGCGGCGUCCUCCACCCCCCCACCGACACCCGGCUGGUCAAGGAGGUGGCAGCCUGCGACGCUUCCGCCACCAUCAUCCCACCAGAGGUCCAGAUCCUCUACAGCUCCUCCUGCAGCGCUGCGGCGGGUGACGAGUCGGUGGAGCUCCUCUGCCUCAUCUCCGGCUUCUCCCCGGCCACCGUGGAGGUCCAGUGGCUGGUGGACGGGGUCCCCGGGCUGGUGACGGCCACCCAAGGGCCACCACGGCGGGACGCGGGCAGCGGCACCUACUCGGCCACCAGCCAGACCAACGUCAGCCGCGCGGAGUGGUUGGAGGGGAGGACCUUCACCUGCCAGGUCAAACAUCCCGCCACGGGCACCACCGUGCAGGACCACGCGCGACACUGCUCCGGCCUGGAGCCCCCCAACCCCACCAACAUCGUCCUCUACGUCCUUCCCCCCAACGUGGCCGACCUCUACAUCACCCGCCAACCCAAGGUCUUCUGCUUGGCCACCAACCUGCCCAGCGACUCCGGCUUCCAGCUCUCCUGGGUCAAGGAGAAACCAGGUGUCCUCAGCCCGGACUUCUUGGACCUCCAAGAACAGUUCAACGGCACCUUCACGGCCACCAGCACCUUGAGUGUCUCCACCCAGGACUGGGAAGCUGGAGAACGUUUCACCUGCAUGGUCAAGCACGAGGACCUCCAGGUGCCCCUCAACAAGAGCAUCUCCAAGAGGGCGGGGUGAGUGUCCCCACCCCAAGUCUUUGUCUUCCCGCCCCACCCCGAGGAGAUGACCCACCCCGAGGUCACCCUCACCUGCCUGGUCCGUGGUUUCCAACCGGAGAACGUCCAGGUCCAAUGGUUGAAGAACCACGAAGGUGUCCCACCAGAGGACUACGUCACCACCCCACCCCUGAGGGACAACCUGCGGGACAGCACCUUCUUCGUCUACAGCAAGAUGAUGGUCCCCAAGGCCACCUGGUUGGGUGGGAGCACCUACAGCUGCAUGGUGGUCCACCAAGGCUUGCCGCUCAAGUUCACCCAACGCCAGGUCCAGAAGAACCCCGGUAAUUAACGAGGGGACGCGUCUCCACCCCACCCCACCGCUCUGCAGAUGACCUCCGUGGCCUCCUCUCCCACCCCCGUCACCUCCCAAGCUCCAAUAAAGCC